UUUUGUGAAUAUGUGUGAUCUGUGAAAUCCUAAGCACCACAGAAAAGUGAAGUAUUGAGCACAUACCAUCGCAAAGGAAUUAUGGAUGAUUAUUACCGCAACGGCAUGCCUUAUUUUCAUGAUGCAACUAGAAAGAACACGCCAAUCCUAAAGAAUGGCUCGGCAAGGUUUAUCAACUCCAACCAAAGCUUUAGCUGAAUUCAAAGCUUAAUACGGGUUCUAGUGCUUCAUAUUUCAUAGCACAGGAAAAGGAGGGAAAAUAAGUUUUUACCAAGUAUAAAAUUGAUGCAUAACGUAAGAAUCAAAAUUGCAGAAGCAAGACAGCACUGAUGGGAGCUCAGUAAUCGGAGAUGCAACAUUAUUGUUGAAACACCUUCAAUAAGCCAGAAGUUGCGUGAAUUUUGCUCCAGCAUUUUCUCAUACUAGAUGAAAAGUGUGUCGCUUUCUGGCUACUGAUUUCUGUGCUUCUAACAAUGGGGAUGAAAAAUGGAAUUUUUUAUCGAAACCUAUCAAUCUACCUCUCCCAAGUCUCGGAACUGUCGCCAGCAAAUUAUUUCCAAGCCUGGAACAACUUGGGACAUCAAUGCCUUGUAAACAAGCCUAAAUGUAAUAUUAGAGCUUGUCUUUGGUGAUGUAUUCCAUUUAAAUUAGUUUUUAAUAUCUAGAAUUGUGCAAUUUUGGAGCUAGUUCACAAACCCUUAUUUAUCUAGUUAUUUGAAAUAUUCAGAAUUGCAAAGAAGUCUUGCUAAAAUUCUGCAAAUAAGCAUGUGAAAAUAAAAUACAAAGUUAAAAUGUAGAAUUCGAUUCCAACUGUUUAUGCUUUAAAAUAUUUGAGAAGUUAAGCUUCUAAAUCAAGCCAAAAAUUUGAAUGCUUGGAGGUAACAAAUUCAAAGCUCAAACCGAGCAUUGGUUCCAGAAACUAAUGAAACUUCAGAAAUUCUUAAUGUGUGUUCGAUGUUAAAUUUUUUAAACAUAACUAGGAAAGUUGUGAAUGUUCCGGCUUCACAAACAGUUAAAAAAAUUUUGGUGACGAAAGACUGAAGAGUGUGAAGAUCUCGUAUGAGAAUUUCGUAGUUUUUAUAUCCGUUGCAUCUGGAUUGAUGCCCGUUUCAUUUUGUAUGUCAAGCAAAUAGAUCAAUAUAAUUUUCGUAUCGGGAUGCACAUCACAUUUCUUAUUGGAAAAACCACUUAAAAUGCAUGCACCAUACAUCACAAAUGAACUUCUACAUAAAUUGAAUAUAAAACUAAUGAAACUAAGACUUUGUCUAGUUUUCCUGUUUCGAGAUAAUUGAAAUGAUCUAAAAUUUAUGCAUAUUCUUUAUUAAUUCGCCUGAUUGUAGAUUGACCAAGAAUGGAUUUAAAUAAAUGAUUCCAAAUGUCUGGUUUAACUAACAAUUACAAGAGCCAACUGUUUAUUCUACUCCAAACAUGAAUAUUUGGGAGAUAUUUCGCGAGAGAUAAAAGUACUUUCCUUAAAAAUUAAGCGUCAUUAAAUCAGAGUAAAAAAAAUUGAAAUUUUCUACAAAGAUGAUGCGCGUUAGUUGGCAGGAAACGUAUCGCAUGUCAAUAGAAUAUUCCAGAGAAUUCCGUGCAAAUUUCGAGUUCUUCGAAGCUUUUUAUGUAAUUAAACGAGUGUAAAAGGUAAACGUACUUAGAUUCUAGUUCAUUAACUUAGAGUCGUAUCGGAUAAUUAAUUUAAAUUACGGUGGUUUAGAUAGUUAUUACAUUUUUCCAGAGUUGAAAGUAUUAAGCUAAGUUUCUUUAUAAUGUGAAAUAAAUGGGCAAGCUCAGAUAGGAUUGGGAAAGUUUUCUUAAACAAUGGUCUUUAACCAUAUGGGAAAAUUUGAAGAAAGCAUGAUCGUAUGAUUAAAACGAGGGUAUCAACCAAUUCAUAUGGGGGGGGGAUUGGCAGUAACUUGGUUAAAAACAUUCUUUAAUACUUUACAGAACUAACAAUUAACCCCUUUUUCUGUAACUCAUUGAUGGAUUUUUCUCUACUUGCAUAAGCAAAGUUGGCCAUGAACGUUUUCUGCUCUUAACGGAACUCUCCGGAAAAUUUUGUGUUCGAAAUAUGGCUUGAAUGAAAGAUGAGAUGUUGGGAAGAAAAUCAAGAUUUGAGAAAUGUUUUAACCACCCUUUCCCUAAUUCGAGAAAAGUAGAGAGAUGGAUAGGUACCAGCCGGCUGGUAAGAGGUAGGGAAUGUAGCUGCAUGGGUUUUGUUCAACCCUCAAUCCCCUUGCAUUAUAAAAAAGCUUAACUUGUACUUUCGGCUUUGGAAAACAAUUAGCUGAUUAGGAAUGGAAAUAAUAUAUCGAAUAGCUUUCCGUAAUGACAACCCGUUCGUCAUGCAGAAAAUUUUAAUUUUUCGUUAGAAAAGUUAAUAAAAGAAUUCAGGUUAGCCAAUGUAAUGUAAAAGCAUAAGUCAUCGCGAAGUAUUUUCAUAAAGGGUUAAUUGUAAACGCUUGAAAUCGGAUAUUUUGUAGGAGAUUUAUGGGUGUUUUACAUGAAUAUUCAUUUUGAAAGUAGAAUAGACAAUUGACUUAGAGUAGCCAAAUAUUUUUUACAUUCACAUCACAAUAUUUGUCCCAUGGAUUUAAUAGAAAUGCCUUGUUAAGACAUUUAAAUUCUCAGUUAAAUUACUCUGCGAUUCAAUGCUAGGACCAGAUCGUUAGUAAAGUUGCACUAAGAACUCGC
Molecule: long non-coding RNA, 2694 nt
Organism: Argiope bruennichi
Lineage: Eukaryota; Metazoa; Arthropoda; Arachnida; Araneae; Araneidae
Exons: 3
Source: RefSeq, a predicted model, not a curated record